CCUACGGGGGGCAGCAGUGGGGAAUUUUGCGCAAUGCUCGUAAGAGUGACGCAGCGACGCCGCGUGAAUGACGAAGGCCUUCGGGUCGUAAAGUUCUUUCGACAGGGAAGAAAAUGCCUAUAAGUAACUGUGUAUGUAUUGACGGUACCUGUAUAAGCAGCCCCGGCUAACUCCGUGCCAGCAGCCGCGGUAAUACGGAGGGGGCGAGCGUUGUUCGGAGGGACUGGGCGUAAAGAGCACGUAGGCGGUGUUGUAAGUCAUUAGUCAAAGACUAGAGCUCAACUUUAGUAAGGCUAGUGAUACUAUAAUACUAGAGUAUCAGAGAGGAUUGCAGAAUUCCUGGUGUAGCGGUGAAAUGCGUAGAUAUCAGGAGGAAUACCGUUAGCGAAGGCGGCAAUCUGGCUGGAAACUGACGCUGAGGUGCGAAAGCGUGGGUAUCGAACAGGAUUAGAUACCCCUGUAGUC
This 465-nucleotide ribosomal RNA is filed under the name uncultured bacterium. RNAcentral describes it as "partial 16S ribosomal RNA". It matches the Rfam family "Bacterial small subunit ribosomal RNA", at positions 338 to 795 of the family's 1533-position model. The record is from RNAcentral.